Xenopus laevis (African clawed frog) is the source of this 332-nucleotide long non-coding RNA. RefSeq lists it as uncharacterized. Lineage: Eukaryota; Metazoa; Chordata; Amphibia; Anura; Pipidae. The record is from RefSeq and is a predicted model, not a curated record. The transcript is spliced from 3 exons.
UACUCUUAUAUAUUUGUGUUUUUUUUAUCUUUACAGAUUUUAUCCCGCCUGUAUUGUACUUGGGCUGCAGUUUUUGCAUGAUAGGAACAUCACCCAUAGGGAUUUAAAACUAGAAAAUGUAUUACUGGAUAGAGAUGGAUACGCCAAAAUUACUGACUUUGGCAUUAGCAAAGAAGGAAUGAGUUUUACAGACUGAAGCCAAACUCAAUGUGGAACUUUGCCGUAUAUGGCCCCGGAAAUGUUUACACAGUAUAUCCCUACACAAGAUCAGUGGACUGGUGUGGAUUGGGAGUGUGCAUUUAUUUAAUGCGCUUCAGUCAGGUAAGUGCACU